Molecule: long non-coding RNA, 593 nt
Organism: Oreochromis niloticus (Nile tilapia)
Lineage: Eukaryota; Metazoa; Chordata; Actinopteri; Cichliformes; Cichlidae
Exons: 5
Source: RefSeq, a predicted model, not a curated record
GAACCUAAAAGAACUGAAAUUUAUUGUGACUGCACAUCUGUGAAUUAUCAGUGAAGAUUACUUUGUUAACUUAGUUUGCAUAAUUCAGAAGUUUUUGGUUUGCACGCGACCUUGAGGCCUUAGAGAAAAUCACUACGCUAGAUCUGGCUAUAAGCUACAAGUUUGUCCAAAGAGUUGGUCAGAAAUACUCUUGCAAGGAUAGAGGUUCCUUCACCUUGUAGUCCAGAAAUAGGAACUCUGCACCCAUCAACACUUGAGCUGGCUGUGUCCCAGAGCGAGGAAGAGAACAGCGCACCAAAAGCACACGAAGCAGCCCAGCUAGUGGAUAACUGCUUGUAUACUGCUCUGCAUUUAAACAAUGAUGGCAUGGCUCCAAUUCUGUGUCCUCUUCCUGGUGGCUCCAAUUGGGUACAGUCAGAAUCCAGGUCCUCGUGGUCCCAAAGGAGACAGAGGACUUCCUGGACCAGUUGGUCCACCUGGAGUACCAGGACCACCAGGUGAAAAAGGAGAUACUGGACCUGAUGGUCUACAUGGUUCAGUUGGAAUACUUGGACGACAUGGAAUGACUGGAUCACGUGGACUUCCUGGACCAU